AGCAGACUGGCAAUGAAUAACCAGAGAAAGACACACAGAACACAAGGGAUGAGAGAACCGGAGGGGAGCUUCCAUGCUCUCUCCAGGCACAUGGCUCUUCCCGAAUCUCCUCUACAUGUUUACCAACCUGGAAGCUCCCCGUGCGACUUUUUAACACACUGUAGAGCAAGAGCCCAUUAACCGGAAAGAGAAAAAAACAAGAACAUUGGGUGGCAAACAUGGUGUUGGAAAUACCUAUACAAUUUCAUUCUGUAUUGGAGACGAGGGCAGAAGACAUCUAAACUUCCUAUAUGUUCAUAUUGAGACCAAGGGCUGUCAUCGAUAACGUAUUAUACCAAGAAGAAAAAUAACCCUAGGCAGCAGGAGUGGUAUUCUAGAAAGAAAGUUUUUAAGGAAGCAGUUUGGCCUGUGGGAGUUCAGUUCCCGGAUGGAUCUAAGAAGAGGUGUUGGCUUUCAGGUCGUGCAGUGGUGACUUUCAAGCCUUUUACGUCCAAGAACUAAAACUGUAAGUUCUGAUAUUUUUUAUUAUUUUGCUUUGCAGCUUUCUUGACAACGCUAAUACUGUACAUUCAAAACAU
This is a long non-coding RNA of Acinonyx jubatus (cheetah), 578 nucleotides long. RefSeq lists it as uncharacterized. The transcript is spliced from 4 exons. NCBI's taxonomy places the organism in Eukaryota, Metazoa, Chordata, Mammalia, Carnivora, Felidae. The record is from RefSeq and is a predicted model, not a curated record.